RNAcentral lists this transfer RNA (88 nucleotides) under Mesorhizobium amorphae. RNAcentral's name for it is "tRNA-Ser". It matches the Rfam family "tRNA". Rfam says of the family: Transfer RNA (tRNA) molecules are approximately 80 nucleotides in length. Lineage: Bacteria; Pseudomonadati; Pseudomonadota; Alphaproteobacteria; Hyphomicrobiales; Phyllobacteriaceae. The record is from RNAcentral.
GGAGCGGUGGCGGAGCGGUCUAACGCGGCGGUCUUGAAAACCGACGGGCCUCCGGGUCCCGGGGGUUCGAAUCCCUCCCGCUCCGCCA